CAAGAAGAGGAUUUGUUGUGGCUCCCUUUCCUCUUUUUGCCCAGCCACCUUCUCAGGUCAGUGAAGAGCAGAAGCCCGAGCAGCCCCUGCCCAGCCGCCACCCGUUCGCUGGGAGCGUCUAGAUGAGAGGCAGCGCUCUUCAGCGGAGCUUCCUUUGCUAGGCCAGGAAGCGAGGUCUCCUUCUCCUUGGCGUGGCGCUACAGGAUGAAGCCCAGACCUGGGCCCAGGAAUCUCAAGCACCAACAUCUGAGUAAGCUUUCAGCUCAGGAGAGGACCAGUGAUAAAAGAGCCACACUAAAAAUAAGUAAGUCACAAGGAAAGUGUGAAUUUUCUGCAAGCAAAUUUCUUCUUCAUAAAUGCAAAGUGCCAGGGUACAACACUUGCUUUCAGAGAUGGAUGGGAGACUGGCAUGCAGCCCCAAGGACUUCAGUGCACCCAGGAGUUACAUAUGGCAUGAAUAGCAGAGGAGUUUGA
Molecule: long non-coding RNA, 474 nt
Filed under: Struthio camelus australis
Lineage: Eukaryota; Metazoa; Chordata; Aves; Struthioniformes; Struthionidae
Description: lncRNA (ENSSCUG00000000124.1)
Source: RNAcentral